AGAUCAAAUUGUUGGUCGUGCCUUGGUACGUACUGGCAUUAUUGAUAUCUCCCUUCUGAAGAACCACGAUGUCAUUAAUUUGGUGUCAUGGGGAAUCAGGACUGUUACUUUGAAAAAAUUAGAGUGUUUAAAGCAGGCUAACGCUUGAAUACAUUAGCAUGGAAUAAUGAAAUAGGACGUUUGAUCUUAUUUUGUUGGUUCUGAGACCAAAGUA
RNAcentral lists this ribosomal RNA (214 nucleotides) under Campeiostachys nutans. Its description in RNAcentral is "Elymus nutans partial small subunit ribosomal RNA". The stretch from base 38 to 214 matches the Rfam family "Eukaryotic small subunit ribosomal RNA", at positions 685 to 864 of the family's 1831-position model. Lineage: Eukaryota; Viridiplantae; Streptophyta; Magnoliopsida; Poales; Poaceae. The record is from RNAcentral.